GACGAACGCUGGCGGCGUGCCUAAUACAUGCAAGUCGAGCGGACUUUUGGGAGCUUGCUCCCAAAAGUUAGCGGCGGACGGGUGAGUAACACGUGGGCAACCUGCCUAUAAGACUGGGAUAACUUCGGGAAACCGGAGCUAAUACCGGAUAAUUCCUUUCCACUCAUGAGUGAAGGUUGCAAGACGGUUUCGGCUGUCAUCUAUAGAUGGUCCCGCGGCGCAUUAGCUAGUUGGUGAGGUAACGGCUCACCAAGGCGACGAUGCGUAGCCGACCUGAGAGGGUGAUCGGCCACACUGGGACGGAGACACGGCCCAGACUCCUACGGGAGGCAGCAGUAGGGAAUCUUCCGCAAUGGACGAAAGUCUGACGGAGCAACGCCGCGUGAGUGAUGAAGGUUUUCGGAUCGUAAAACUCUGUUGUUAGGGAAGAACAAGUACGAGAGUAACUGCUCAUACCUUGACGGUACCUAACCAGAAAGCCACGGCUAACUACGUGCCAGCCGCCGCUGUAA
This 512-nucleotide ribosomal RNA is filed under the name uncultured bacterium. Its description in RNAcentral is "partial 16S ribosomal RNA". It matches the Rfam family "Bacterial small subunit ribosomal RNA", at positions 28 to 523 of the family's 1533-position model. The record is from RNAcentral.